Molecule: ribosomal RNA, 305 nt
Filed under: uncultured bacterium
Lineage: Bacteria
Description: bacterial SSU rRNA
Rfam family: Bacterial small subunit ribosomal RNA
Source: RNAcentral
UGUCCCUACGGGACGCAGCAGUGGGGAAUAUUGCACAAUGGGGGGAACCCUGAUGCAGCGACGCCGCGUGAGUGAAGAAGCAUUUCGGUAUGUAAAGCUCUAUCAGCAGGGCAGAAGAUGACGGUACCUGACUAAGAAGCCCCGGCUAACUACGUGCCAGCAGCCGCGGUAAUACGUAGGGGGCAAGCGUUAUCCGGAUUCACUGGGCGUAAAGGGAGCGCAGGCGGCACGGCAAGUCUGGUGUGAAAACCCGGGGCUCAACCCCGGGACUGCACUGGCACCUGCCGGGCUGGAGUGUCGGAGGG